RNAcentral lists this ribosomal RNA (484 nucleotides) under uncultured bacterium. Its description in RNAcentral is "partial 16S ribosomal RNA". It matches the Rfam family "Bacterial small subunit ribosomal RNA", at positions 30 to 507 of the family's 1533-position model. The record is from RNAcentral.
AUUGAACGCUGGCGGCAUGCUUUACACAUGCAAGUCGAACGGCAGCACGGGCUUCAGCCUGGUGGCGAGUGGCGAACGGGUGAGUAAUAUAUCGGAACGUACCCAGAAGUGGGGGAUAACGUAGCGAAAGUUACGCUAAUACCGCAUACGAUCUAUGGAUGAAAGCAGGGGACCGCAAGGCCUUGUGCUCCUGGAGCGGCCGAUAUCUGAUUAGCUAGUUGGUGAGGUAAAGGCUCACCAAGGCGACGAUCAGUAGCUGGUCUGAGAGGACGACCAGCCACACUGGAACUGAGACACGGUCCAGACUCCUACGGGAGGCAGCAGUGGGGAAUUUUGGACAAUGGGCGCAAGCCUGAUCCAGCAAUGCCGCGUGAGUGAAGAAGGCCUUCGGGUUGUAAAGCUCUUUUGUCAGGGAAGAAACGGUAGAGGCUAAUAUCCUUUGCUAAUGACGGUACCUGAAGAAUAAGCACCGGCUAACUACGUG